Long non-coding RNA from Hipposideros armiger (great roundleaf bat), 410 nucleotides. RefSeq lists it as uncharacterized. The record is from RefSeq and is a predicted model, not a curated record. NCBI's taxonomy places the organism in Eukaryota, Metazoa, Chordata, Mammalia, Chiroptera, Hipposideridae. The transcript has 3 exons.
GCGCGGGCGGGGAUGAAGGCGGAGAAGCGGAAGCCAUGGCAACCAGAGGUAAUAUGCUGUAGUUGCAAGAGGAUAGCCUUAAUUCACCUGGGAUGCAAUCUGGUCUCUGACCCUUACUAGCCUCAGAGAGAGUGAGGCUUCACUGUCGGAGGACAGGAGAAAAGAGGAAGCCACAAUGUACAAAUGCCCAGAGUGUGCACAGCCUGUGGUAGAUUCUAUGGCCCUGGAACAGGAUGCUUUCCACAGGAUUGGAGAUAGGCACUCAUGAACAUGUAUGAAGCAAUUAGAGAACAAGUAAGAAUUCAAUUAUGUUGUGUUGACACAAGCCCAAAAGGCCAGAGAAGGAUGGGAUUAAUGUGACAGCAGAUGCUUUAAAAAUUUUUGUGAAUCCAGUCAGAAUGGUUAUCGUC